Molecule: small nuclear RNA, 316 nt
Filed under: Chinchilla lanigera (long-tailed chinchilla)
Lineage: Eukaryota; Metazoa; Chordata; Mammalia; Rodentia; Chinchillidae
Description: 7SK RNA (ENSCLAG00000021757.1)
Rfam family: 7SK RNA (bases 1-266)
About the family: 7SK was discovered as an abundant small nuclear RNA in the mid-70s but a possible function has only recently been suggested. Two independent studies have found that 7SK RNA binds the CDK9/cyclin T complex (known as elongation factor P-TEFb). P-TEFb activates transcription by phosphorylating the C-terminal domain of RNA polymerase II.
Source: RNAcentral
GGAUGUGAGGGCCAUCUGGCUGACAACUGUCACCCCACUGAUGGCCAGGGUUGGCUUGGAGGACCUGGCUGGCUAGAGGGUGUCUCCUUCCUCCCUCACUAUCAAUGUGAGUGCUCCAUGGAAGAGGUUGACCAGCUCCUUUACAAGAGGACUGGCUCCCCAGUGAAGGUCAAGGAUAUAUGAGUGGCUCUGCUAGAAUCUCCAAACAAACUCUUAAGAAAAGGUAUUAUUCAGAAUGCAUUACUGGAGGAAAGUUGCAUUUCUGUUAACCUUAUUUUGAUGAAAGCUUUAUAUUUACAAGUUGAAAAAAUAGUGA